RNAcentral lists this long non-coding RNA (498 nucleotides) under Nicotiana benthamiana. RNAcentral describes it as "long non-coding RNA (NBEN_LNC008187)". The record is from RNAcentral. Lineage: Eukaryota; Viridiplantae; Streptophyta; Magnoliopsida; Solanales; Solanaceae.
UUUUCAUUGGUUAGCUAGAAUUUCCAAAAGUUUCUAAGGUCCUCCACCUGGGUAAAAAUGGCUUGAGUUUUGGGUUUUAAAGGUCUGGUUUGAGUUGUUGUUAGGAUACUGUUUCAUUGUUGUUUCUUAAGCUGAUUUCUGCUAGUGCUGAUUGGUGAUUCUUCACUUCUUUUGUGUCCCUUUUUAUUUCCAGGUACUUCUUAUGAACCAUUAAAUGGCAAAGUGAAGUUGUGAGAGAGCCAGAGCCCUUAAGUGGUAAAAGGAUAUAAAAUUCCCAAUGGGAGAGCAUGCGCCCAGAGAAGAGAAGCGCUUAAGCAAAGAAGGUUGACUUGGAAGUUGUUUAGUUAGAGGAGGACGCCCCAAGCCAAUGGUGACCGAAAAGCACCUUUUUGGGGGUUCUAUCGAAGACUUAUAGUGCAUCUAUUAAGUACAUCUACAAGACGAUGAAACUAUAUAUGAUAUGCCAGUAGAUUAGUUGUUUCAAUUUCAUCAGAUGUG